AACAAGCAGGGUGGUGACGGACCAGGCCCCUUGGGGACACUUGGUGUGAGUGUGUGAGUGGCUGCUCUGCUUGCCACUCAGCAGGUGGCGACCUGCAGGGUGGUCACCUUCACAGGACAUGCUGGCAGAGCCAGCGCUUUUCAAGGUGACCACUCCCCCUAGUCUUUUUAGGCCCUUGGAGAAUGGUGCCCAGCCAGGCAGGUGGCACAGAGCAACCUGUUCUCCUGCAAUGGCCCUGAGCCUGACCAUGCUUCCUCUGACCCCCAAGGGAGGCCACACUAGUCAGAGGAAGUGUCAGGAGAGCCUGGGUUGCAGGAUGGACUCAAGUCCGCCACCCAGCGGAACGUCAGGCAGCCCCUACUUACGCUCCCUCAUCCAGGAGCCCGGGGAUGUCAAGUCUUCAAGUGGAGAUGGAGUGCAAUGGCAGAUGCUCAACAUCCCAGGCCAGUUAAAGACAACCUGGGCUACAUGGUCAAGCUCUGUCCAAACCAGACUAACAAAAAUAGUGGUAUAAACAGCCUAUAAAUGUGAAGACGGCCUCAGUCUCAGAA
Molecule: long non-coding RNA, 551 nt
Filed under: Rattus norvegicus (Norway rat)
Lineage: Eukaryota; Metazoa; Chordata; Mammalia; Rodentia; Muridae
Description: long non-coding RNA NONRATT008017
Source: RNAcentral